UAAGGACAUCUUUGCCACUUGUUCAAGUCCUAGAAACUACCCAAGUCUAGAAUUGCUUACUUGCUUACAUGAUUGGUUUACCAACCUUAAGGAAAACUCUUAAGUCAUACAUGUUGCUUAUGAAGGAUAGUCUGGAAUAUGAAAACGGACAGAAGCUAGAGAUGUAGUUCUGUCUGCUAGAUUAAUCUGGUUAAGGCCCGAUUCGUGUCUUAACCGAUGAUCAAGUGAUAAACAUCUGAUCACUUACUGGGUAUGGGACCAGUAAAGCCCAGUAGGUUAGUAAAUUCUAUGAUCAGGAAUGCUUCGUACCCGCGCUUGACGUGCUGGAGAUUGGCAGGGGUGUAGCCUGAAACUCACAUGGAGAUCAGGCCAGACGUGGGGUCCCAUGUGGGGGUGCAUCCCUGGGUCCGGGUAGUUGUAUUCCUAAUCAUUGACUUUACUAAUCGAGAGGUUGUUAGUACGACCUGGACAGUCGUAUAAUACUGGUGAUCAGGGUACUCUCCUGCAGGAUGUAAUUAGAUCCG
This 524-nucleotide long non-coding RNA is filed under the name Setaria italica (foxtail millet). RNAcentral's name for it is "long non-coding RNA (SITA_LNC001556)". Lineage: Eukaryota; Viridiplantae; Streptophyta; Magnoliopsida; Poales; Poaceae. The record is from RNAcentral.